AUGGCCACAAUUAUGUUGAAACAUGAGUUCCCAUACAAUCACCAAAGUUAAGCAAUGUUAAGCCUGGUCAGUACCUAGAUAGGUGACCACUUGGAAAUACCAGGUGCUGUG
Molecule: non-coding RNA, 111 nt
Organism: Acanthosepion pharaonis
Lineage: Eukaryota; Metazoa; Mollusca; Cephalopoda; Sepiida; Sepiidae
Source: the annotation of a GenBank genome assembly